This 677-nucleotide ribosomal RNA is filed under the name uncultured fecal bacterium TB141. RNAcentral's name for it is "bacterial SSU rRNA". It matches the Rfam family "Bacterial small subunit ribosomal RNA", at positions 32 to 715 of the family's 1533-position model. The record is from RNAcentral. Lineage: Bacteria; Pseudomonadati; Bacteroidota.
AACGCUAGCUACAGGCUUAACACAUGCAAGUCGAGGGGUCUGCUUCGGCAGACGACCGGCGCACGGGUGAGUAACGCGUAUCCAACCUGCCCUUCUCAUUGGGAUAGCCUUUCGAAAGAGAGAUUAAUACCGAAUAACAUAGUUUGAUUGCCUGAUUAUACUAUGAAAGCUCCGGCGGAGAAGGAUGGGGAUGCGUUCCAUUAGGUAGUAGGCGGGGUACCGGCCCACCUAGCCUACGAUGGAUAGGGGUUCUGAGAGGAAGGUCCCCCACACUGGAACUGAGACACGGUCCAGACUCCUACGGGAGGCAGCAGUGAGGAAUAUUGGUCAAUGGACGCAAGUCCGAACCAGCCAAGUAGCGUGAAGGAUGACUGCCCUAUGGGUUGUAAACUUCUUUUGCCGUAGAACAAAACAUGCCACGUGUGGCAUUUUGCGUGUAUACGUUGAAUAAGCAUCGGCUAACUCCGUGCCAGCAGCCGCGGUAAUACGGAGGAUGCGAGCGUUAUCCGGAUUUAUUGGGUUUAAAGGGAGCGUAGGUGGUUUGAUAAGCCAGCUGUGAAAUACUGCCGCUCAACGGCAGCCGUGCAGUUGGAACUGUCAGACUUGAGUGUACGGGAGGAAAGUGGAAUUCGUGGUGUAGCGGUGAAAUGUUUAGAUAUCACGAAGAACUCCGAUUG